This 491-nucleotide ribosomal RNA is filed under the name uncultured bacterium. Its description in RNAcentral is "bacterial SSU rRNA". It matches the Rfam family "Bacterial small subunit ribosomal RNA", at positions 791 to 1283 of the family's 1533-position model. The record is from RNAcentral.
UAGUCCACGCCCUAAACGAUGCUAACUCGAUAUUUGGACUUCGCGUCUGAGUGUCCAAGGGAAACCGAUAAGUUAGCCACCUGGGGAGUACGUUCGCAAGAAUGAAACUCAAAGGAAUUGACGGGGUCCGCACAAGCGGUGGAGCAUGUGGUUUAAUUCGAUGAUACGCGAGGAACCUUACCUAGGCUCUAAUGUGAUCGCAAUCUGGUGAAAGCCGGAGUUCCUUCGGGACGAGAAACAAGGUGCUGCAUGGUUGUCGUCAGCUCGUGCCGUGAGGUGUUGGGUUAAGUCCCGCAACGAGCGCAACCCUUAUUUUCAGUUGCCAGCAUGUAAAGAUGGGGACUCUGGAAAGACUGCCGGCGUAAGCCGCGAGGAAGGUGGGGAUGACGUCAAAUCAUCAUGGGCCUUUAUGCCUAGGGGCGACACACGUGCUACAAUGGGUCAGCACAGAGAGUUGCGAGACUGCGAAGUUUAGCUAAUCUCAGAAAGCU